Molecule: long non-coding RNA, 5442 nt
Organism: Lathyrus oleraceus (garden pea)
Lineage: Eukaryota; Viridiplantae; Streptophyta; Magnoliopsida; Fabales; Fabaceae
Exons: 3
Source: RefSeq, a predicted model, not a curated record
UUUAAAUAAAACACGAAGUUGAAAACAGUAACUACGAAUAACCAAAACUCAUGUUGAAAACAUGUAACGACGAAUGACCAAGCUCAGUUUCCUUUCCAUUUUGAAAAUCAAAGUCUUAACAGCAAGUUAACAUCACAAUCAAACAGGCAGCGGUGUUGCUAAAUCAAACAUGAAGUUCAAAGCAUAAUCGAAACAUGGAAAUAAAGCUUGGAAAGGAAGCUAACCGGUUGCGGCGAGCUCGACCGACGAAUGUGAGGUUUUUCAGCUCUCCCCCUGUUAGUGAACAAUGGCCUCCCUUUUAUAGUCACACUGCUAGGGUCUUUUGAAUUGGCCGCUGAGACCAAAGGGGUGUUGGACUUGGAAGUGCUUUUGGUGCUGCCAGUUUGUCUACCCUGUUUUGGUGUUUAUUCUGAAAAAGUGAAGUUUCUUGCAACUUUGAGGCUUCUGUUAACCACACUCAACCUUGCAAGAGCAACCUUCUUGAGGUCAGGCCUGUAGUAGUUAUCUGCCACUGGUUUUGAACAGCCUUAGCCAUCCUCCUAAACUCCUUCUUCAUCACAGAUUUAUGAAGCAAAGCGGACGGCUUGUUCUGCUUCCUUGGCUUGGAGAAAGUUAGCAGGCUUCAAGUUAGAGUGCACAAUACGUUCCUCGUGAAUUGUAUUGACAACUUGAAGAAUUUUCGGCCAAUAAAACCGAAGCCAGUUUUCAUCUAUCAUCUCGUUUGAUUCACUCAGCUUCUUCCACUGCUGCGACAACAUGUGAGCUAACUCAAUUUCACCGUAUUCAAACUCAGAGUCGGCACAAGAAUCAAAUGUUUGCACCACACUUGCAGCCUUAUCAACUGAUAAUUUAUUCGAUUUUUCGACACAAGUGUUUACAUUCGUUGAUUCCAUAACUCUUUCAGCUUCUUAGUAGCCUUCUCAGCGGAGGGUGUAGACCACUGACACGGGAGCCAGGUGUAUACUUAAAAGCUGAUAUUACAGAGGCAAAUCUUUACACAAUCGAGAUAAAAUCUCAAAUGUUUUACCUUGCAAUGACGACGUUGAAUUAACAAUGCACAGUACUAUUGGGAUUAUGUUUUGAGGGAAUUCGGCUAAAAUUGCACAUGCUAGUUUAACAUUUGCACCAGUCUCUUCUGACCUGGAAAGAAUGGCAAGUGCUUCUAGAGCCUCUGAUGUGGAAACAGAUUCGUUGAUAGAAGAGUCUAAAGAGGAGACUAAUGCAAGAACAGUGCCAGCACGGUUCACACAAUCAUUUACAGCACAAUCAACUUCCCUAAAAUGCAAAAGGCGAGAAAUUGCUCUUGCUGCAUGUACUUUCCAAAUCUUGUGCCAUCACGCAAUACUCUGGUAGCAGGAAAAAUAACUUCCUCAACAAUAGCUUUCCCUGCCAUUUCAACUACCCAAUAAAAGAUUUGCCACAAAACAUGUUGCCAGCUCCGCUAUUUCCAAAACUGAAAAGCUAGCUAGUGCAACUAGAGAGAAUAAUGCAUCUCUAGCAUUAGCAGCCACCUCCCUAUUCUCUUUAAUGGAAAGAAAUAUUGCAGCUAGGCAGCGUGAGGACUCUACUAAGAUACUUCUAAAUUCAACAUUAAGCAACUUCAUGGCUGACCAAAGAGUUUUCAGAGCAUUGUUGCUUUGUGCUUCGUGCAUUACAGUCCCACUGUUGGAUUGAGUGUCAGAGAAAACCACCUCACUGUUCAGUUGUUUCUGUCCUUCAUAAUCUUCCCAUGUUUUCAUAUCUGGUACACAAUGCCCCUGAUAGAAAAUGAAGAUUGCAGCAUUAUGCAGUUCACGUUUCUGGUUGAUAAUGAGAAUUAGAAGACGACAAUGGUUGUUCCGAGCCAACUCUGUGGUUCUCAUCCUCUCCUUGAAUUCUAGCAGGAAUACCGAAACCUGUCAAAGCCAGACAAAAACCUGCUCCCAAACAUCGAACUAUGGUGAAUAGGCUGAUGAGAUUUUUGAUUAUGAUGAUUGAAAGACGAAUCCGCCAUUGGAAUAUCAUUUCAAGGACGAAGCGAUGGCGAAAUACUGGACUGAAAGGUCCCCCUAUGGGCGGAAAAGGCCGAACCUUGGCCUAGAAAUGACGCGGGCGAAUUAUUAAUCAUGAAACCUGUUCUGAAUUGUCUUGGAAUGAAUGAAGAGAAAGACCAAAGUCCUGUGUUGAGUUGUUUAUUCUUGAGAUUAUAUCAGAAGAGUAGCUUUGAAAAUCAUCGGAUCGCCAACAGAACUCGUCGGCAAAAACGCGGUUGCAUCAUUAUCAAUACUUGGUUGAAUGAAACCUGAAUGGUUGUUCCCAUGCUAUUUUCUUCCUUCUUAUAUUCUAGGAUUUGACGUGUUUGGUGGUUUGAAAAUGAACUAUUAUUGCAGGAUGAUAUUACACCGCAUUGAGUUUCUCUGAGGUCUCUAAGCACCAUGGUCGGUUCAGAAAUUAAACCGGCAUUGACGUGAGAUUGUGUAACUGUUUAUCAUUGAUCAACAUUCCGUUUAACUCAUCAAUUUGCAUUCUUUGCAGGUUCAACAUUCUCAUGUUGGGCAAAGCUAAAACCUUUAGACUGGCCAGAACCAACGGUAGCCAUUUCGUAAAACAGGAUGUGUCCAACAGUAGAAAAAGUGUCAUGCAAAGCCUUGAAAUCAAAUUUCUUGUCCAAAUUCUUCAGAAAAUACUUGCGAUUCUUAGCUUGUGGUAGGAUAUCAAAAAUGUCAUUAUCCGUCGACAAACUGCUAGCAACAUUUACAUUUUUCACUGGAGUGUCAAAUUUCAAGGAUCUUGAUAACCUGCUAGCAUCAUUGGAGUGUCAAAUUUCAAUGACCUUGAUGACCUCGAUGAAGGUGGGCGCUUAACCAACUUGUCCGGUGAUCUUGCAGAAUUGUCUUCAGGGGUCAUUAAAUGCCUUUUAGGUGGCUUCAAGGCAGGUGUGGCAGACAUCAGCCUGGAUGGAGUUGACACAUAUCCCAAUGGGGUUGACAUAGGUUCAAGGCUUUUGACAGGUUCACCUUUGCCGUCUGUACACUCAAUGGCCUUACAAGGUGUAGCUGGGAUAAUACUGGAUGGUGUGGUUGUAGAAUCUCUCAAUAAGAGAAACAACAGUACUCUCGCCAUAGCCACUGCUACCGACUAAAGCUAUGGUUUUUCACGGCAGGGACAUUCAAGGAGAAGUCAUUGAGGAUUUCAACCUCGGGCCUAGAGCUUUAUAAUCUUCUGGAAAAGAAACCAUACACCAUUUCCAUUCUUGUUCAAGAUAAAGUAGUAGCUCAUCAUAAAAACUUGGUAACCAAUUGGAGAACGAUAUUGUAGAUGAAACAGACUGAAAAUUUCCAACACUUGAUGUUCUCUCCAUUUCAUCCUUCUCAUUUGCAGACUUAUUAGCCCGUUCUCUUGAUUCAAAGUCUUCCCAAAGUUGUUUAAUUGGUUUCAGAUGUACCUUUGAAUAUUGAGAUUCCAAAGACUUAAAUCUUCAUAUUCUAAUGAGAAUUCCACGCAAAUCUUGAGCGGCAUCAACCUUGCGAUUGGAUAAUGCAUCGGUAAGACGAGGCUGCACCAUUGUGUCUAGCCUAUCCUCCAAGUUUCCGCCUUCAAUCUCUUUGAAAUCUGGUCCUGUCGGUUCUUUUCCAGUCACCAGUUCAAGCAAAAUGACACCGAAACUGUAGACAUCGCCUCUUGUUGUUGAUCUUCCACUCUGUCCAUACUUCGGUGGAAUGUAGCCGAAUGUUCCAGCAAUAUCCGUAGAGAUAUGAGUUUCACAAGCACUGAUCAAUCUUGCAAGUCCAAAGUCGGCGACUUUUGGCUCAAAAUCCUCGUUUAGUAAAAUGUUGUUGGCUUUCACAUCCCUAUGAAUGAUGUGAGGUAUGAAACCGUGAUGAAGAAAAGCCAGUCCUUUUGUCGUGCCGGUUGCAAUUAAGUCCUUAGAAUGAAGGAUAUCAAGAGAUAUAAUGCCUUGUUUGUCAGUUUUGUGAAAGGGGUGACUAGAUAUCUGGGUAUAUGUCUCUAGAGCAUCAACAGGAGCCAAAGUCGCAGGAAUCUGUCACUUUUUCCUCUGCUGUGAAAGAGCAGCAUUGUAGUCUGUUAGCUCGGUAAUUAUGCUAGAAGAUAUCCCAGGAUGUAAUUUCUUCGCAUUAUCAGGAGUUGUUGUAUCAGCAUGCAUGCUUUGAACAGCCAAUCCUUUUGAAAAUUUACAUUGCCGCCUAGAUAUGUAACUGGAGUCAUAAUUACAAUUUGGUGAUGGGGUCACAUCACCGCGAAAAACAAGUGGCCAGUCAAAACUCAUAGGAAUUGAUUGAGACAGGAUUUGGUUGCAUCCACUUUCAACUGGUAUAUUUCUUGUUUGCUGUAAUGUGGGAACAAAUGGUUGGCAGAUGUGAUUAUGCCAAUUGCGCCCAACAUCCAGAUGCAAUCUGUCUGUCGCGGGAGGGAGAUGUGAGUUAAAAGAUGGAAAAUAGAUAGAAGGUAUACCAGGCCAUUCAUAUGGACUGCAUUUUGAGAAAGCAGAACUUCUACUAUCAAAUAGACAUCUAUCUCUCUCUCUCUCUUAACUUGCCAAAUUCUUCCACAUUAACUUCUCGAAUCGGUUUGUCAUGAAUAUUUGACUUUACAUUAGCUUUGUCAGCACCUGUUGGGUUCAAAGAACAGGUAUUCUCAUUGCUGGAGAAACUACCAUCCUCCAAUGCAAGUACAGGCGGCGUUGUAGCUUCACAUUCUAUAUCGCAAGUAUUUAAUUCAGAAGACGAUAAUUUCCUUUCAUUUGGCAAUGAACACUGAGAACCUGGACUAUUGCAACUUUCAGCAAGAUUGUCAACAGUCCCUUCUUCAAUGUUCCCAGUAGAGGUGUUCUCCUUAGUAAGUCUAUUAAGAGAACAACUAAGGUUUGAAUUUGAAGCAAGAGUGUCAUUACCUAUUGAUGCGUCAUGUUUGACAUUCUAAAUGGUAGGACUAUCAAAAGACCUAUCGCAUAUUGCCACCUCACCUUCAGAAAUAAUAAUGGUGGAGGCCGCAUGCAUAAUUGGCUUGAGGGACUCUCCAACUGCACUGUCAAUAAGGGCGCUUUUAUUUUUAUUUCUCUUUUUUCCUAUUUCUUCUUGGAGUAGUUCGAGGUUUGCCAAUAUUUGAUUCCAGAGUAUUAUCUACAAUUUUUACAGUUGAUGAUGGGCUUUCUACAACUGCUGACUGGUGUAAUAAUUCUGCCGAACUCUGUAUCAUCGCAAAAUGUCUGGAUGGUCCUUGAGCAGAUGACACUGCAGAUUGACUAGUUUGAGCUCUUUCACAAUAUUCAUUUAUCUGAUUAGUGGAAGCCAUUCGAUCAACAUGACUUGCACUAUCACAUUGAAUACUUGCUACUUGUCCUCCAAGAUUAGCCAUAUUCUGAUUUUAUGCAUGGAUGAACAUGAUUGAAUGAAUGUGAGAAGGUCCUUGGUCAUGAAUGAAUGAUUGAAAUAUGAAUGAUUA